Arachis duranensis is the source of this 862-nucleotide long non-coding RNA. RefSeq lists it as uncharacterized. The transcript is spliced from 5 exons. The record is from RefSeq and is a predicted model, not a curated record. NCBI's taxonomy places the organism in Eukaryota, Viridiplantae, Streptophyta, Magnoliopsida, Fabales, Fabaceae.
AGACUAGACAGAACUAUCACAGAGGACACUGAAAGACCUCAUUUAGCAUAUUACAACACCAGCAGUUGCAAUAGUCAAUAUGCCUGGCAAACCCUUAUCACUUAUGAUGCCUGCAUACGCUUGUGCCUGCAAGCAUGGGCAAGAGGCUGCACUGAGGCACCGGAGUUUUUGAAAGAUGAGUGCCUGGCUCUUCGAAGUGCCUUUGGAGGCAGUAAAGUUGAUGAUGACUUGUUCCAUAAUGGAUCUUCACAAAAUUCCAUCAGCAUUCAACUGCCACUAAGUUCCAAUUUCUUUGGUUUCAUUUUCUACUUGGCUCCUGAUGAUGAUGACCAGAAUGCAAAUCUGGAAGUUAAGUUCUUUGCUCGGCUACCAAAUAAGGAGGAAGUGGUGAUAAAAGAGUGUGGCAUCCGUUGGAUAUACACAAACAUGGAGAAGGAAUCAAGAGGAGAAACAGGGGUGUUUUUGAGUUAGAAGCCAUUGCAUCUCCAAAUGAAGAAAAGGGGUUCGAAUCUGAUGAUGAAGGGGAAGAACUAGUUCCUCCAGCAAAGAAAUUUAAGCAUAGCUUAAUGGAAGUUGAAUCAGUAGAAAACUUGAGAUAAGGUUCAAGCAAACUCAGAUCAGGCUAUGGUUUGGAAUCAGCUCAAAGCAGGAUCCUUCCAAUACCACCCUCCUCCUCCCUUAUGUGAUGUGAUGAGAGAAUAAAGAUUAAUGUACCUCCAGAUACCAUGUAGUAGUGCUUUGUGUUUGUUGAAGAGAAGGUUAUAUAUAUAGAUAUUAGAUUAGAUAGGAACAAUGAAAGCGUUUUGUAUGGAAAUAAUUGCUUCUUAUUAUAAAGAAAGCGUUUUGUACUCACGGGUGUGUU